GACGAACGCUGGCGGCGUGCUUAACACAUGCAAGUCGAACGGAAAGGCCCUGCUUUUGUGGGGUGCUCGAGUGGCGAACGGGUGAGUAACACGUGAGUAACCUGCCCUUGACUUUGGGAUAACUUCAGGAAACUGGGGCUAAUACCGGAUAGGAGCUCCUGCUGCAUGGUGGGGGUUGGAAAGUUUCGGCGGUUGGGGAUGGACUCGCGGCUUAUCAGCUUGUUGGUGAGGUAGUGGCUUACCAAGGCUUUGACGGGUAGCCGGCCUGAGAGGGUGACCGGCCACAUUGGGACUGAGAUACGGCGCAGACUCCUACGGGAGGCAGCAGUGGGGAAUAUUGCACAAUGGGCGGAAGCCUAAUGCAGCAACGCCGCGUGCGGGAUGACGGCCUUCGGGUUGUAAACCGCUUUCGCCUGUGACGAAGCGUGAGUGACGGUAAUGGGUAAAGAAGCACCGGCUAACUACGUG
This 468-nucleotide ribosomal RNA is filed under the name uncultured bacterium. RNAcentral's name for it is "partial 16S ribosomal RNA". It matches the Rfam family "Bacterial small subunit ribosomal RNA", at positions 28 to 507 of the family's 1533-position model. The record is from RNAcentral.